Molecule: long non-coding RNA, 200 nt
Organism: Lacerta agilis (Sand lizard)
Lineage: Eukaryota; Metazoa; Chordata; Lepidosauria; Squamata; Lacertidae
Exons: 2
Source: RefSeq, a predicted model, not a curated record
CCUGUUAUGAGAGAGAGAGAAAGCAGACAUUUACUGUCUAGGUUGAGUAUUAGCAAGUCACAAGUUGGACUAGCAACAAUACGCUGCAGUGUACCUUCUUUCCCCAAAGGUGUUUCUGUUCAGGAUUUCAGGCUGCAGAAGCGGUUACUGAAGACAGAAAUGCAGUGACGUUCUAUGUAAAUAAAAUGGUUUUGCAAGCA